This 100-nucleotide microRNA precursor is filed under the name Alligator mississippiensis (American alligator). The record is from RNAcentral. Lineage: Eukaryota; Metazoa; Chordata; Crocodylia; Alligatoridae. RNAcentral also lists the same sequence under 1 other name.
UCUGGAUGGUACAGUGCUGCAGCUGGUGUUGUGAAUCAGGCCGUCACCGAUCAGAGAACGGCUACUUCACAACACCAGGGUUGCACCCUACCACAGUCAA